UUGCAGUUAAAAAGCUCGUAGUUGGAUUUCGGGAUGGGCCAGUCGGUCCGCCUAACGGUGUGUUUACUGGCUGGUCUGUUCUUCUUCGCAAAGACUGCGUGUGCACUUUACUGUGUGUGCGUAGGAUUUACGACGUUUACUUUGAAAAAAUUAGAGUGUUCAAAGCAGGCAUACCGCUUGAAUACAUGAGCAUGGAAUAAUGGAAUAGGACUUUGGUCUUAUUUUGUUGGUUUCUGAGACCGAAGUAAUGAUUAAGAGGGACAGUUGGGGGCAUUCGUAUUUCGUUGUCAGAGGUGAAAUUCUUGGAUUUACGAAAGACGAACAAUUGCGAAAGCAUUUGCCAAGAAUGUUUUCAUUAAUCAAGAACGAAAGUUAGAGGAUCGAAGACGAUCAGAUACCGUCCUAGUUCUAACCAUAAACGAUGUCGACUAGGGAUCAGCGAACGUCUAAUGCGACUUCGUUGGCACCUUAC
Molecule: ribosomal RNA, 472 nt
Filed under: uncultured eukaryote
Lineage: Eukaryota
Description: SSU rRNA
Rfam family: Eukaryotic small subunit ribosomal RNA
Source: RNAcentral